This 253-nucleotide ribosomal RNA is filed under the name uncultured bacterium. RNAcentral's name for it is "partial 16S ribosomal RNA". It matches the Rfam family "Bacterial small subunit ribosomal RNA", at positions 524 to 776 of the family's 1533-position model. The record is from RNAcentral.
UACGUAGGGUGCAAGCGUUGUCCGGAAUUAUUGGGCGUAAAGAGCUCGUAGGCGGUCUGUCGCGUCUGCUGUGAAAACUCAGGGCUUAACCCUGAGCUUGCAGUGGGUACGGGCAGACUAGAGUGCGGUAGGGGAGACUGGAAUUCCUGGUGUAGCGGUGAAAUGCGCAGUUAUCAGGAGGAACACCGGUGGCGAAGGCGGGUCUCUGGGCCGUAACUGACGCUGAGGAGCGAAAGCAUGGGGAGCGAACAGG